Molecule: ribosomal RNA, 451 nt
Filed under: uncultured bacterium
Lineage: Bacteria
Description: bacterial SSU rRNA
Rfam family: Bacterial small subunit ribosomal RNA
Source: RNAcentral
ACUCCUACGGGAGGCAGCAGUGGGGAAUAUUGCACAAUGGGCGCAAGCCUGAUGCAGCAACGCCGUGUGAGUGAAGAAGGUUUUCGGAUCGUAAAACUCUGUCCUAAGGGAAGGAAACAAAUGACGGUACCUUAGGAGGAAGCCCCGGCUAACUACGUGCCAGCAGCCGCGGUAAUACGUAGGGGGCAAGCGUUAUCCGGAAUCACUGGGCGUAAAGGGUGCGUAGGCGGCUUAGCAAGCCAGGGGUGAAAGGCAUUGGCUCAACCAAUGUAAGCCUUUGGAACUGUUAAGCUUGAGUGCAGGAGAGGUAAGUGGAAUUCCUAGUGUAGAGGUGAAAUUCGUAGAUAUUAGGAGGAACACCAGUGGCGAAGGCGACUUACUGGACUGUAACUGACGCUGAUGCACGAAAGCGUGGGUAGCGAACAGGAUUAGAUACCCUGGUAGCACAGAG